Molecule: ribosomal RNA, 301 nt
Filed under: uncultured bacterium
Lineage: Bacteria
Description: partial 16S ribosomal RNA
Rfam family: Bacterial small subunit ribosomal RNA
Source: RNAcentral
CAGUCGCCACGGUAAUACGUAGGUGGCAAGCGUUGUCCGGAAUUAUUGGGCGUAAAGGGCUCGCAGGCGGUUUUUUAAGUCUGAUGUGAAAGCCCCCGGCCCAACCGGGGAGGGUCAUUGGAAACUGGGAAACUUGAGUGCAGAAGAGGAGAGUGGAAUUCCACGUGUAGCGGUGAAAUGCGUAGAGAUGUGGAGGAACACCAAUGGCGAAGGCGACUCUCUGGUCUGUAACUGACGCUGAGGAGCGAAAGCGUGGGGAGCGAACAGGAUUAGAUACCCCGGUAGUCCCUGUCUCUUAUAC